This is a long non-coding RNA of Brassica napus (rape), 1683 nucleotides long. RefSeq lists it as uncharacterized. The record is from RefSeq and is a predicted model, not a curated record. The transcript has 8 exons. NCBI's taxonomy places the organism in Eukaryota, Viridiplantae, Streptophyta, Magnoliopsida, Brassicales, Brassicaceae.
ACUUCAGUUGACGGUAACUGAAGUUUUGUUAUCUUAUAUAAUAAAGUUGACUUACCUCUCUCCUCAUGCGUCCACGUCAGCAAAGAGAAGGGGGCAUUUUGCGCCAGGUGUCCACUUUUCUUCAGCGAUAAAAAAAAUGUUUUCGAUUUCAUUAUGGGUUUCUUUUACGAGCAUUAAUUAAAACUAUGGAGACCUCAAUAUAUUGGGCUUCGUUUUUUUGGUCCAUCAAAGAAUCCCCUUCUUCUUUGUGCUGAUUUCUCUUCCGCUUCUCGAGGAAGUAACGUUCCGGCGUUAUGUCAAUCACUGAAAACCCACCAAUCCUAUGAUUUCCACUUCAUUGAAACUUUUUGGAUUCCCUCAGUUUCGAACUUUUGUUCCCUAGCUUCUCCUCUUUACUAAAAUUAUCAAAAUCGAAGAAUCUUGGCAAGCUUCUACACUCCAAGCUGCUAGAUUUUCUUACGAACAGUGGUCGCAAAGUUGAUUCCAUAUAGUCUUUGAUCUGUCUAGCUACAAUAAUCUAUAUUGCUUUGUUUGUAUCUUCAAGAGAAAAUGCAGAGAAUUUGAUUCACAAGAACCUCUUUCGUGUAUUCUGAUUCUGUGGCCAUUGAUUUAUUGAGUUGAUAUGAUGGAAUUGCUUCUGAUUCCUUGAGUGAUGAGACACUCACGUCAGGUUUUUAAAAACUGUGUAGGUUCAAAGGUUCAUUCUGCAGAUCAAAAGAUCAUUUGGAUGACUCAGCAUCGAGCACUGAAACUUCACAUGAAGCAACAAGAGGGUGAGCCUCUACAUAUAGGUAACAUUACCAACCAGAGGAAAUGUUGAGCUUGGAGUUCCAGGGACAUGGCCUUCCCUCCCACUCCCUCCUUUUUCAGUAUAUAUCCGCAAUACAGCCGUUUCUGCUAUUUAACAAUCCCGUCAUAUAAGUAGUUUGCGAAAGGCCACGACUCCUCUAUCAUCUACAUGAUUGCUUGUGACUCUCUUCAUUACUUUGUGUUGAGUUCUCAGAGCCUCAGGUUAAAUGCUACAUUACUCAGCUAUUAAAGGGCUCAAUCAUUGUCCCGCUAAUCAUUGUUGGGAUUGACUUCGAGAGCACCAGCAGCAUAAUUGGUGCAAUAUACGCACUUACCAGUAUAAACAAGACAUGCCAGCAGAGACAUUCAAAGAGUUCCAGAUUCUAUUAUUUUGCUUCUAAACAGUGUGUUCCCAAUGGAUUCAAAAUUUAAUGGCACUGCAACUAAUGCUCUCAAGAGCAAGGGUGUUGGUGUCAAUACUCAUGUGGAGCAGACUGAUGGUGUGGCAGCAGCACUUGGUGAAAAUACAAAUGUCAACCAUCAAAUUUCCUCAUCUGUUGUACCAGAUGAGGGCGUUCAGCAUCAAACAAUCAGAUUUUUGACCCAAAGAAUGGAAAGAAGAAGGCACGGUUGGAUUGGAUCCACCUAGAAAACACAAAUCACCAUUACAUUUCCUUAUGUUCUUAUGUCGUCCUUUUCGCUUGCUUAUGCACUAUAAGUUAGAACUUUAUCAAUUUUUAAUUAAACUCAACGCGGUGGGUGGUUUUUCAAUAAACACAAUAUAUGCAUUGAAUAAGUCUAAGUCCUCAGCAUGUUAAAUUGUGUAAAAAAUAUUUUAUUUGAGAUGUUAAAUCUACUCAUCAAAAACUAUUUAUGCAACAAUUUUGAACUAUU